This 461-nucleotide ribosomal RNA is filed under the name uncultured bacterium. Its description in RNAcentral is "partial 16S ribosomal RNA". It matches the Rfam family "Bacterial small subunit ribosomal RNA", at positions 338 to 795 of the family's 1533-position model. The record is from RNAcentral.
CCUACGGGAGGCAGCAGUGAGGAAUAUUGGUCAAUGGGCGGAAGCCUGAACCAGCCAAGUCGCGUGAGGGAAGAAGGCCCUACGGGUCGUAAACCUCUUUUGCCGGGGAGCAAGGGCGGGGACGUGUGCCGGCCCGGAGAGUACCCGGAGAAAAAGCAGCGGCGAACUCCGUGCCAGCAGCCGCGGUAAUACGGAGGAUGAGAGCGUUAGCCGGAUUUAGUGGGUGUAAAGGGGGAGCAGACGGCGAUGCAAGCCAGGGGUGAAAGCCCGGGGCCUAACCCCGGGACGGCGCUGGGAACUGCGUGGCUAGAGUGCACGAGAGGCAGGCGGAAUUCCUGGUGUAGCGGUGAAAUGCGUAGAUAUCAGGAGGAACACCGGUGGCGAAGGCGGCCUGCUGGACUGCAACUGACGUUGAGGCCCGAAAGCGUGGGGAGCAAACAGGAUUAGAUACCCUAGUAGUC